ACGAACGCUGGCGGCGUGCUUAACACAUGCAAGUCGAACGGAAAGGCCCUGCUUGCAGGGUACUCGAGUGGCGAACGGGUGAGUAACACGUGGGUGAUCUGACCUGCACUUCGGGAUAAGCUUGGGAAACUGGGUCUAAUACCGGAUAGGAGCCAUCUUUAGUGUGGUGGUUGGAAAGUUUUUUCGGUGUAGGAUGAGCUCGCGGCCUAUCAGCUUGUUGGUGGGGUAAUGGCCUACCAAGGCGGCGACGGGUAGCCGGCCUGAGAGGGUGUACGGCCACAUUGGGACUGAGAUACGGCCCAGACUCCUACGGGAGGCAGCAGUGGGGAAUAUUGCACAAUGGGCGCAAGCCUGAGGCAGCGACGCCGCGUGGGGGAUGAAGGCCUUCGGGUUGUAAACUCCUUUCGCUAGGGACGAAGCUUUUUUGUGACGGUACCUAGAUAAGAAGCACCGGCUAACUACGUG
This 465-nucleotide ribosomal RNA is filed under the name uncultured bacterium. Its description in RNAcentral is "partial 16S ribosomal RNA". It matches the Rfam family "Bacterial small subunit ribosomal RNA", at positions 29 to 507 of the family's 1533-position model. The record is from RNAcentral.